Vicugna pacos (alpaca) is the source of this 743-nucleotide non-coding RNA. NCBI's taxonomy places the organism in Eukaryota, Metazoa, Chordata, Mammalia, Artiodactyla, Camelidae. The record is from RefSeq and is a predicted model, not a curated record.
UGAGUAGGCCGUGGGGCCCAGGCCGAAGUUCACAAUAGCUUGCACCUGGUAAGGGGUAAAUGUACGCAUGCGCUAGUAGCGUGAGUCAGCACUAUGAACACCACGCAUGCGCCAGUAGCGUGAGUCAGCACUAAGAACACCACGCAUGCGCCACUAGCAUCAUAAAAGGACAAGUGCGUACACCUGAGCACCGCCGCAGCCUCGGGCACCACCCGCUUGUACUGCAGUAAAGUGCAGUUUUGCUCCUUGUCGGCUCCUCCCGCCUUCUUCCAGUUGGGCAGCCCAUCUCCUCGGGUCCCUCUCCAGCCUCCCUCGGCUGACAAGCAUGUUGUAGACCCUCCUGGAGACCUAAAAUCUUUCCCCGGUGAAGUGAGGCCAGUGGACGAGGGGGGCAACCGGACGAGGAAUGCGGACAGCCUAAGAAGCCGAGAUAGGCUCCCGGCCGAUGACCGACAGGGAGACGAAAACUCAGUCCUCCAGCCACAAGCAGGAUCGGCUGUAUAUAUCAGUAACAGCCUGGUCAGUGUGGGGAGGAAGAGGCUGGGAAGGCCUCCUUCUCGAGCAUUCCCCCAUGGAUGCUGGAAAAUCUGCCACUGGUUAAAAAUUCCCCUGCACAGUCUGCUUCAGGGCCAUUCUUUUUUUAUCUUAAUGCACUUAUUUCUUCAACUGAUAAUAAAGUUCAAAAUUCUGAGCUUCCUUCUUGAGUGAUUUGGGCAGGUUGAGAGCAGAGCUGUGUGUGUGUG